Molecule: ribosomal RNA, 497 nt
Filed under: uncultured bacterium
Lineage: Bacteria
Description: partial 16S ribosomal RNA
Rfam family: Bacterial small subunit ribosomal RNA
Source: RNAcentral
GAUGAACGCUGGCGGCGUGCCUAAUACAUGCAAGUCGAGCGAACAGACGAGGAGCUUGCUCCUCUGACGUUAGCGGCGGACGGGUGAGUAACACGUGGAUAACCUACCUAUAAGACUGGGAUAACUUCGGGAAACCGGAGCUAAUACCGGAUAAUAUAUUGAACCGCAUGGUUCAAUAGUGAAAGAGGGUUUUGCUGUCACUUAUAGAUGGAUCCGCGCCGCAUUAGCUAGUUGGUAAGGUAACGGCUUACCAAGGCAACGAUGCGUAGCCGACCUGAGAGGGUGAUCGGCCACACUGGAACUGAGACACGGUCCAGACUCCUACGGGAGGCAGCAGUAGGGGAUCUUCCGCAAUGGGCGAAAGCCUGACGGAGCAACGCCGCGUGAGUGAUGAAGGUCUUCGGAUCGUAAAACUCUGUUAUUAGGGAAGAACAAAUGUGUAAGUAACUAUGCACGUCUUGACGGUACCUAAUCAGAAAGCCACGGCUAACUACGUG